RNAcentral lists this non-coding RNA (23 nucleotides) under Rattus norvegicus (Norway rat). The record is from RNAcentral. Lineage: Eukaryota; Metazoa; Chordata; Mammalia; Rodentia; Muridae.
UGCAGUCUUCCUGGGAUAAGGUC